Molecule: long non-coding RNA, 7744 nt
Filed under: Brassica napus (rape)
Lineage: Eukaryota; Viridiplantae; Streptophyta; Magnoliopsida; Brassicales; Brassicaceae
Description: long non-coding RNA (BNAP_LNC025568)
Source: RNAcentral
GCAAACUCCGCUAGGGGUAGGUACUUUGCCCAACUCCCUUCCCAAUCCAAAACACAAGCUCUAAGCAUAUCCUCCAAAGUCUGAAUCGUCCUCUCUGACUGACCGUCUGUCUGCGGGUGAUACGCCGUACUCAUAUGCACUUUCGUCCCAAGCGCCUUCUGGAAGGCUCUCCAAAAGUCAGACGUAAACUUUGUAUCUCGAUCUGAUACAAUGCUGACAGGAACUCCAUGCAAUCUCACAAUCUCGUUGAUGUAACUCUGUGCUAACUGAUCAGCUCUGUCCGUCUUCUUAAUAGCUAGAAAAUGGGCUGACUUGGUAAGUCUAUCCACGAUUACCCAGAUGGCAUUCUUUCCUCCUAAGGUGGUUGGCAACCCCGUCACAAAAUCCAUAGUUACCAUGUCCCAUUUCCACUCUGGCAAUGGCAGGUUCUGCAAUAACCCGCUAGGCACCUGAUGCUCGGCCUUGACCAUCUGACACGUCUGACACUGCGAUAUAAAUGAAGCAACAUCCCUCUUUAUGCCAGGCCAAUGAUAAUAACGCUUGAGAUCCUUGUACAUCUUGGUGUUUCCUGGAUGAAUAGAGAAACGCGAGUGGUGUGCCUGCUGCAAGAUUUCCUUUUUUAACAACUCAUCAUUAGGCACACAAACCCGGUUCCGAUACAUGAACAUCCCACUCGAAGCUGUAUGAUAUCCAAUACUCUCAAUCUCGAUCUGCUUACACAAAGCCUUAUCUGCAUCCUGAGCCUUACGCACUUUCCAUAACAAAUCUGCUUGCUCCACAGCCUCGAGGCCAACUGCCUCUCCCUCUACAGUAACUGCACAUAAUCUUAGACUAGCAAGUGUCCCAGUAAGCUCCUGGACCUCUUUGGUUCCCGAUAUAUCGCUUCUGCGCCUACUCAAGGCAUCCGCCACAUGAUUGGCUUUUCCCGGGUGAUAUGUGAUCUCCAAAUUGUAGUCUGCUAACAACUCCAUCAAUCUACGCUGCCUCAAAUUCAAGUCCGUUUGCGUAAAUAUGUACUUCAGACUCUGGUGGUCCGUGAAAAUCUUCACCUUCUCUCCAUACAAGUAUGACCUCCAGAUUUUUAAUGCAAAUACAACUGCUGCCAACUCCAAAUCAUGAGUAGGAUAAUUGGCCUCGUGAGGCCUCAACUGUCGUGAUGCAUAGGCAAUGACCUGACCUUCCUGCAUCAGUACACAUCCCAAUCCGGUGCCUGACGCAUCUGUGUAAACAUCAUAUGGUAUCCCUGGCCUUGGGAGUACCAAAACUGGCGCAUGGGUCAGUUGUCGCUUCAACUCAGUGAAACUCCCCGAACAUUCCUCUGUCCAAUCAAACUCGGUGUCUUUUCCUGUUAGUCGUGUCAUUGGCUUUGCAAUGCUAGCAAAAUUGUUGACAUACUUUCUGUAGUAUCCUGCCAAACCGAGAAAACUGCGGAUCUCCGUCGCAUUCUUAGGUGUCGGCCACUCUGAAAUGGCGCUAAUCUUCUCCUGAUCUACGGCAACUCCCGCUUCUGAAACCACGUGACCCAAAAAUCCAAUCUUCUUCUGCCAAAAGCUACACUUGCUCAGCUUGGCAAAUAACUGAUGUUCCCGAAGCUUACCCAACACAAUCCGCAAAUGUUCAGCAUGCUCUCCUCUACUCCGAGAGUAAACCAAGAUGUCAUCUAUGAAAACGAUCACACACUUAUCCAAGUGCUCACGAAAUACAUCAUUCAUAAGCUUCAUGAACGCGGCUGGUGCGUUUGUCAACCCAAAUGGCAUCACCACAAACUCGUAAUGUCCAUAACGGGUACGGAAUGCCGUCUUCCGCACAUCUCCCUCAGCUAUUGCAAUCUGGUGGUAUCCCGAUGCCAAGUCAAUCUUAGAGAACCAUGAAGCUCCCUGCAACUGGUCCAACAACUCGUCGAUACGCGGGAGCGGGUACUUAUUCUUGAUGGUCACUUUGUUCAAACCUCUGUAAUCUAUACAAAGUCUGAAACUCCCAUCUUUCUUCUUCACAAACAACACUGGUGCUCCCCACGGUGACGUGCUUGGCCUGAUAAACCCCUUAUCAGAUAGCUCCUCCAAUUGUUUCUUUAACUCUGCCAUCUCAGUUGGUGCGAGACGGUAUGGAGCUCGUGAAAUUGGUGCUGCUCCUGGCUCUACUUCUAUUGUAAGAACGUCCGCUCUAGCUGGUGGUGGCCCUUUUAAAGGCUCAAAAACAUCCUCGUACUCGGCGACCACUGAUAUAUCAUGCAGCUUCUGCUGACCGUCCUCCUUAGCCAUCGAAAUUGUUGCCAAAAAUCCCUCUGCUCCACUUUCCAAUAAUUCUUCUGCACGCAACAUGGAUACGAUAGGAAUUUCCCGGUGUGUCUGAAUUUCCUCGCAAAUGAUCUUUCCUUCUUCUCUAGGGAUAUUAACUCUUGCCUUCGGACAAUCCAAGAUUACUCGAUGUCGCGACAGCCAAUCCAUCCCAAGUAUAACAUCGUAGGAGCUCAUCUCUAUCUCCGUCAAAUCUCCGAGCAACUCGACUCCUCCAAGUAGAACUGGUACAUCGUGAUAAAUGCCAACUGCACCCAACUUCUCCGUGCCGACAGUCUGGAUCUGCUUAGCCUUCGGUUCAAAGACUCCCCGAAAAGACCAAGACUGGACUAAGCGCGGACUCACAAAACUAUGAGAGGCUCCCGUGUCGAAUAAGGUGUGAGCUGACUUUCCUCCAACCGAAACCGAUCCCGCUAUCGGCUCAGCUCCCUGGGGAUCUCCAAUUGCAAAGACCCGUGGAGCGAUGGCUGGACGCUUCGGUGGUGGUGGAAGCGCUGCAUUGCCUCUCCUCGGACAAUCUCUGUAGAUGUGACCCGGCUGGUUGCAGCCGUAACAGUUCCUCGCUGCCACUGCUGGUGCUACUGCUGCUGCUGGUGUUGCAACCUGAGUUCGUGGUGGCUUCCUACAGUUCUUCGCAAGAUGCCCAAACUGAUCGCAAUUAUAGCACUGGAAACAUUCCCCAAAAUGGUGGCGACGACAACGCCCACAACGGGGUGCUCCAGUCUGCUCCCAAGGCCUCUUCUGCGACCCCGAAGCCCCUCCUGCCUUAGGCUGAACUGCUUUGGAGAACUUCUGCUCCUCACCCAUACAUUUCUCCUGCACAGCCGCCUUCUCUACCAGAUCCUCCAAACUGGUGUAGGUAACCACACUGCACCUACCACGAAGCUCUACUCGCAUCCCAUCUAAGAACCUCCUGAUCAGAUCCUCCUCAUCUAUGUUGUUACCCACAAAUCUGCGGAGUUGGUUAAACUCCCGCUCAUACUCCCUGACAGACUUUGCACCCUGCCUCAAAUGCUCGAAAUCAUUCUUCUUCUCAUGCAAAGCUUCCCUCGGAAAAAUACUUCUUGUUGAACGCGUAAAGAAAAUCAUCAUAUGUCAGCUCGCCACGGUGCAUCAAUCUCACUCCAUCCCACCAGAUUGAUGCAUCUCCGCGCAAAUACAACUCAGCGAUGUUUAGCUUGAGCCUUGGUGGGCACGAGAUGGUCUUCAAACACUUAUCCAAAUUGUGCUUCCAAUCGUGAGCAACUGUAGGUUCCGUCGUUCCAGUGAAAUGCUCCAAACUCACAUACUUCAUCUGUCCCAACACCCUGAUAAAUGUCUCAUCAACCUCGGGCACCUGAACUGGGAAAGCAGGUGGCGGCGGUGGAACCUGAAAAACUCCUGGAACCGGCUGAACAGGAACCUGAGGGUACUGCUGGACUGGAGCCGGCUGAUGUGGAACCUGAUGAUAAUGCUGAACCUGAACUGGUGGAGCCUGCUGCAUGCGAAUCUGCGGACCCUGCUGUACUGCAGCCAUCUGUCUGGCAACCUCCUGAGCAGCUAUUCGGGCAGCCUCCUGGGCAGCUUGCUGGACUGUCUCCUGUGCAGCCUGCCUAGCCGCAUCCUGAACCAUCUGUCUCAAAGCAUCCCGAUCAAUAGGCGGAGCCGCCUGCUGCGGAACUGCGGGCUGGACAUGCUCAUCCUCAGCCCUUCUAGCAACUCUGGGAGUCUGAGUACGAACAACUCUCUUCCUGGGCGCCAUCUAAGGAAAAGCGAAAAAGUUAACUUAUGCCGAUCUGUGGUUACCAACAUUUAAGAAGGAGUGAUACCGAACGGAAAUGUGCUAUUUAUUUUUAUUUUCAAAGUUCCCAAAUCCCCGAAAAUAUUUUGAAAUCGUCUAAAAUCGUUUAAACCGAAUAAACCAAGGUUUCCAAAAUCGCCAUCCCGGGUCGGAGCCGGGACGGAACCCGCUCUGAUACCAAAUUGUGACACCCCGAUUUACAUAAUAAAAUGUUACGAUAAGUAAAUAGCUCUGAUACCAAAAUGUGACACCCGCCACUUUCAAAAUAAAAUAAAUUGAUAAAAGCGGUAAAAGCGAUAGAAGCCCAAAAGCCCAAUAAUAGUAAAAGCCCAAAAGCACCGGUCCGGUAUAAUCACUCCUGCUCGUCGGUCUCACCUGAAAGGGGGAAAGAAGGAGGGGUGAGCGACAGGGGAAUCGCUCAGUGAGGUAUGGGAUGCUAAACCGCAAACCACUGACUCAGUUCAUAGCACUACAACUAUGUAGGCAUAGUUCUAGCAUGAGACAAUCACGGUGCCUAUUACACCACACAGAACAAUCACAUAUGUCUAGUGGACUAGACAUGAUACAACCAAUGCGAUAAUAGCAUAUCACAUUUCCUCAUAAGGAUAUAUAUACUUUACAGGCGUCGCUAGCACAGUAGUCCACACUGCACCCCGCAAAUCUCUAAGGCGUCGUAAGUACAAACGUCUCUGUACCCCCGCAAAUCUCCACAAACAUGGCAGCCAGUGCAAACGUCUCUGCACCCCGCAAAACUCCUCAAACAUAGGCAGCCAGUGCAAACGUCUCUGCACCCCGCAAAUCUCCAAAACAUGGACUCGUAUAUAUAUACAUAUAUAUAACAAUUCUUAACAUCAAUCAUUUCAAUCAACCGUUGAAUCCUCUAUUAUCCUAUUUCCGGUUUAACAAUCAAUAAUAAUAAUAAACAAGCAAGACUCUCAAAAAGACUCGAUUCACAGAGACGGAUCAUGUUUCGAAACUAAACUUUCCAUAACGGUAGUACUAAACUAGCUCGGGAUUUAACGGAGUAGCCCUCACCUUAGCAAUGAAGAGAAGUGGUAUAUAUGAACUCCAGCUGCUCAAAUGGACUCCAAAUCUGAAAUCAGAUCGAAAUUUCGAGUCAGAACGCCUUUCGAACGGUUUAAAACGGGUAUUUACGGAAAAGUCAACCCGCUGGUCAAAGAUCAAUUAUUUAAUUAAUUAAUUAAUUAAUUAAUAAAUUAAUUAAUCCGGUUUAUCCUAACCGAUUUCCAAUUGAUUUUAACCGACCGGUUUAACCUAACCGAAUUGAAAUCAAUUUAAACCGGCUAACCAAUCGGUUAACCGAGUCAACCGAGUUGACUCACCGGGUCGACUCGGCCGAGUUGGCGAGUCGCCGGCGAGUCACCGGUGUCGGUCAUCGGCGGCGACGGCGGAGCUACGGCGGCGGAUUACCGGUAAGUUGGCCGGCGGCGACGGCGGAGCUGCGGCGGAGAACGGUGGUCCGGCGGCGGCGCUGCGGCGGAGGACGGUGGUCCGGCGGCGGCGCGUGGAACUCACGCGCGCGCGGAGGUGAAACUUCCGGAGGCGCGUACGGCUUCGUCCGGGCUCCGAUCGUGACGCGGUUGGUGUCUACGGCUUCGUCUUGACGAGAGGAACACGAUGAUGGCCUUGGAUGCACGAGAUUCACUACGGUUAGAAAGUUAUGACCGAUUUACUAAAACGAGCGAAACAUAACUCAAAACAUGGCGGUUUCCGGUUACCUCGAGCUGCGGUUGAUGGUGAUGACGAGCUUGACGACGUCCUGGCGUGCGGUGGCUCCGGCGACGAGCUCAGGUGAGCUUUCUCUCUCUUUCUCUCUCUCUUUCUCUCUCUCUCUUUCUCUCUCUCUCUCUCUCUCUCUCUUUAAAGAAGUUGGAGAUGGUGGAGAUAAUGGAGAUGGUGGGGAUGGUGGAGAUGGUGGGGAUAGUGGAGAUGGUGGGUCAUUACAAUUCUCCCCUACUUACAAGGAAUUCGUCCCCGAAUUCAAUUCAUAAGCUGUCAUGCCCAAUGUCAACCCGGAAAAGCUCCGGAUAAUCAAUCCUCAUCUGGGGCUCGGACUCCCAAGUCUCCUCCUGAAUACCAUCUCUCUCCCAACGAACUUUGACCAACAUAGUCAUCAUACCAUCAUCUGCUCUCACUUGGCGAUCCAAUAGCUCUACUGGCUGACACGGCGCACGCAAAUUCCUACCAAGGUCACUGGGCGGCUGCUGCAAAAUGAGCUCUGGUUCUCUCACGACUUUCCUCAAAACUGAAACAUGAAACACGUCAUGGAAAUCUGAUAACUCUUCGGAUAAAUCCAAUCGGUAAGCAACUGCUCCAAUUCGCUCCAAAAUGGGAUAUGGUCCCAUAUAUCUCGGUUUAAGCUUCUUCAGCUUCCGAGUCUUAGAUCCUCCCUGAAAUGUCCUCAUUUUCAGGUAUACCAGGUCGCCAACCUGGAACUCCAAAUCUUUACGCCGCUUAUCUGCAUAACUCUUCUGACGGUCAUGGGCUUCCCUAAGCCGUAUCUUAAGCAUCUCAACCUGCUCAACUGUUUCUUGAACCAUUGCAGGUUCUAUCUCACGUCGCUCCCCCACUUCGGUCCAACAAAGCGGUGUGCGACAAGGCCUACCAUAAAGGGCCUCAUAUGGCGCCAUCUUAAUGCUCGAGUGAUAACUAUUAUUGUAGGCAAACUCCGCUAGGGGUAGGUACUUUGCCCAACUCCCUUCCCAAUCCAAAACACAAGCUCUAAGCAUAUCCUCCAAAGUCUGAAUCGUCCUCUCUGACUGACCGUCUGUCUGCGGGUGAUACGCCGUACUCAUAUGCACUUUCGUCCCAAGCGCCUUCUGGAAGGCUCUCCAAAAGUCAGACGUAAACUUUGUAUCUCGAUCUGAUACAAUGCUGACAGGAACUCCAUGCAAUCUCACAAUCUCGUUGAUGUAACUCUGUGCUAACUGAUCAGCUCUGUCCGUCUUCUUAAUAGCUAGAAAAUGGGCUGACUUGGUAAGUCUAUCCACGAUUACCCAGAUGGCAUUCUUUCCUCCUAAGGUGGUUGGCAACCCCGUCACAAAAUCCAUAGUUACCAUGUCCCAUUUCCACUCUGGCAAUGGCAGGUUCUGCAAUAACCCGCUAGGCACCUGAUGCUCGGCCUUGACCAUCUGACACGUCUGACACUGCGAUAUAAAUGAAGCAACAUCCCUCUUUAUGCCAGGCCAAUGAUAAUAACGCUUGAGAUCCUUGUACAUCUUGGUGUUUCCUGGAUGAAUAGAGAAACGCGAGUGGUGUGCCUGCUGCAAGAUUUCCUUUUUUAACAACUCAUCAUUAGGCACACAAACCCGGUUCCGAUACAUGAACAUCCCACUCGAAGCUGUAUGAUAUCCAAUACUCUCAAUCUCGAUCUGCUUACACAAAGCCUUAUCUGCAUCCUGAGCCUUACGCACUUUCCAUAACAAAUCUGCUUGCUCCACAGCCUCGAGGCCAACUGCCUCUCCCUCUACAGUAACUGCACAUAAUCUUAGACUAGCAAGUGUCCCAGUAAGCUCCUGGACCUCUUUGGUUCCCGAUAUAUCGCUUCUGCGCCUACUCAAGGCAUCCGCCACAUGAUUGGCUUUUCCCGGGUGAUAUGUGAUCUCCAAAUUGUAGUCUGCUAACAACUCCAUCAAUCUACGCUGCC